GAUGAACGCUGGCGGCGUGCCUAACACAUGCAAGUCGAACGAAACUUCUUUAUGACCGUGUGCUUGCACUGACCGAUAAGGGGUUGAGUGGCGAACGGAUGAGGAACUCGUGGUCAGCAUGCCCUAAAGAGGGGGAUAACACUAGGAGACAGGAGCUAAUACCGCAUAAACAUAGUUACCGCAUGGUAACUAUGUGGAAUGUGGCUGCAGUACCGCUUUUGGAUGGGCGCGCGGCGUAUUAGCUAGUUGGUAGGGUAAAGGCUUACUGAGGCGAGGAUGCGUAGCCGAAGUGAGAGGUUGAUCGGCCACAUUGGGACUGAGACACGGCCCAUACUCCUACGGGAGGCAGCAGUCGGGAAUCUUCCACAAUGGGCGAAAGCCUGAUGGAGCAACGCCGCGUGGGUGAAGAAGGCCUUCGGGUCGUAAAGCCCUCUUGUUGGUGAAGAAAGGGCGUGGGAUUAACCGAUCCCGUUUUGACGGUAUCGAAUCAAAAAGCCCCGGCUAACUACGUG
Molecule: ribosomal RNA, 512 nt
Filed under: uncultured bacterium
Lineage: Bacteria
Description: partial 16S ribosomal RNA
Rfam family: Bacterial small subunit ribosomal RNA
Source: RNAcentral